AGUAGAUUGGUGUUAUGAGCACGGGAAAUUUUGGUUUUCUUGGACGUCGGUCGAAUGGCGAUUUACUG
RNAcentral lists this transfer RNA (68 nucleotides) under Lithoredo abatanica. RNAcentral's name for it is "tRNA-Gln". The record is from RNAcentral. Lineage: Eukaryota; Metazoa; Mollusca; Bivalvia; Myida; Teredinidae.